GGGUGAGUAACACGUGGGUAACCUGCCCUAAAGUCUGGGAUACCACUUGGAAACAGGUGCUAAUACCGGAUAACAACAAUAGCUGCAUGGCUAUUGCUUAAAAGGCGGCGAAAGCUGUCGCUAAAGGAUGGACCCGCGGUGCAUUAGCUAGUUGGUAAGGUAAUGGCUUACCAAGGCGACGAUGCAUAGCCGAGUUGAGAGACUGAUCGGCCACAUUGGGACUGAGACACGGCCCAAACUCCUACGGGAGGCAGCAGUAGGGAAUCUUCCACAAUGGGCGAAAGCCUGAUGGAGCAACGCCGCGUGAGUGAAGAAGGUUUUCGGAUCGUAAAGCUCUGUUGUUGGUGAAGAAGGAUAGAGGUAGUAACUGGCCCCUAUUUGACGGUAAUCAACCAGAAAGUCACGGCUAACUACGUGCCAGCAGCCGCGGUAAUACGUAGGUGGCAAGCGUUGUCCGGAUUUAUUGGGCGUAAAGCGAGCGCAGGCGGAAAGAUAAGUCUGAUGUGAAAGCCCCCGGCUUAACCGAGGAAUUGCAUCGGAAACUGUGUUUCUUGAGUGCAGAAGAGGAGAGUGGAACUCCAUGUGUAGCGGUGGAAUGCGUAGAUAUAUGGAAGAACACCAGUGGCGAAGGCGGCUCUCUGGUCUGUAACUGACGCUGAGGCUCGAAAGCAUGGGUAGCGAACAGGAUUAGAUACCCUGGUAGUCCAUGCCGUAAACGAU
RNAcentral lists this ribosomal RNA (720 nucleotides) under uncultured bacterium. RNAcentral describes it as "bacterial SSU rRNA". It matches the Rfam family "Bacterial small subunit ribosomal RNA", at positions 104 to 810 of the family's 1533-position model. The record is from RNAcentral.